Molecule: ribosomal RNA, 403 nt
Filed under: uncultured bacterium
Lineage: Bacteria
Description: bacterial SSU rRNA
Rfam family: Bacterial small subunit ribosomal RNA
Source: RNAcentral
CGGGCUCGAACGGCAGAUGAAUAAUGGAGAGAUUCAUUAGUCUACGGACAUCUGUCGAGGUGCUGCAUGGUUGUCGUCAGCUCGUGCCGUGAGGUGUCGGCUUAAGUGCCAUAACGAGCGCAACCCUUGCCGUCAGUUACCAGCAUGUAAAGGUGGGGACUCUGGCGGGACUGCCACCGCAAGGUGUGAGGAGGGGGGGGAUGACGUCAAAUCAGCACGGCCCUUACGUCCGGGGCGACACACGUGUUACAAUGGGCGGUACAGAGGGGAGCGACCUGGCGACAGGGAGCAAAUCUCAAAAAGCCGUUCUCAGUUCGGAUCGGAGUCUGCAACCCGACUCCGUGAAGCUGGAUUCGCUAGUAAUCGCGCAUCAGCCAUGGCGCGGUGAAUACGUUCCCGGGCC